This 446-nucleotide ribosomal RNA is filed under the name uncultured bacterium. Its description in RNAcentral is "partial 16S ribosomal RNA". It matches the Rfam family "Bacterial small subunit ribosomal RNA", at positions 338 to 795 of the family's 1533-position model. The record is from RNAcentral.
CCUACGGGGGGCUGCAGUCGAGAAUCAUUCACAAUGGGGGAAACCCUGAUGGUGCGACGCCGCGUGGGGGAAUGAAGGUCUUCGGAUUGUAAACCCCUGUCAUGUGGGAGCAAAUUAAAAAGAUAGUACCACAAGAGGAAGAGACGGCUAACUCUGUGCCAGCAGCCGCGGUAAUACAGAGGUCUCAAGCGUUGUUCGGAAUCACUGGGCGUAAAGCGUGCGUAGGCUGUUUCGUAAGUCGUGUGUGAAAGGCGCGGGCUCAACCCGCGGACGGCACAUGAUACUGCGAGACUAGAGUAAUGGAGGGGGAACCGGAAUUCUCGGUGUAGCAGUGAAAUGCGUAGAUAUCGAGAGGAACACUCGUGGCGAAGGCGGGUUCCUAGACAUUAACUGACGCUGAGGCACGAAGGCCAGGGGAGCGAAAGGGAUUAGAUACCCCUGUAGUC